GGGAUGACGGCUGCCUACACAUGCAGUCGACGGUAACAGGAGGCAGUUUGCUGCUUUGGUGACGAGUGGCGGACGGGUGAGUGAUGUCUGGGAAUCUGCCCGAUGGAGGGGGAUAACCACUGGAAACGGUGGAUAAUACCGCAUAACGUCCCAAGACCAAGGGGGGGGACCUUCAUGCCUCACUCCAUCGGAUGAACCCCGAUGGGAUUAGCUAGCGGGUGGGGGAACGGCUCACCUACGCGACGAUCCCUAACUGGUCUGAGAGGAUGACCCCCCCCACUGGAACUGAGACACGGUCCAGACUCCUGCGGGAGGCACCGAUGGGGAAUAUUGCACAGUGGGCGCAAGCCUGAUGCAUCCAUGCCGCGUGUAUGAAGAAGGCCUUCUGGUUGUAAAGUACUUUCAGCGGGGAGGAAGGGAUGGGGCUUAAUACGCGCCGUCAUUGACGUUACCCGCAGAACAAGCACCGGCUAACUCCGUGCCAGCAGCCGCGGUAAUACGGAGGGUGCAAGCGUUAAUCGGAAUUACUGGUGGUAAAGCGCACGCAGGCUGUCUGUUAAGUCAGAUGUGAAAUCCCCGGGCUUAACCUGGGAACUGCAUUUGAAACUGGAUAGCUUGAGUCUCGUAGAGGGGGGUAGAAUUCCAGGUGUAGCGAUGAGAUGCGUGAGAGAUCUGGAGGAAUACCGGUGGCGAAGGCGGCCCCCUGGACGAAGACUGACGCUCACGUGCGAAAGCGUGAGGAGCAAACACGAUUAGAUACCCUGGUAGUCCACGCCGUAAACGAUGUCGACUUGGAGGCUGUUUCCUUGAGAAGUGGACUCCGGAGAUAAACGGUGAAGUCGACCGGCUGAGGAGUACUGCCGCGUAGGUUAAAACUCAGAUGAAUAGACUGGGCGCCCCCACAAGUGGUGCAGCAUGUGUCAUUAAUAUCGAUGCAACGCGAACAACCUUACCUGGUCUUGACCUCCACUGAUGUCGACAGAGAUGCGCUAGUGUCUUCGGUAACAUGCCGACAGCUGCUGCAUGCCUGUCGUCUCUCGUGGUAGAUGAAUCGUGGGUUACUCCCAGAGAACAUGCGCAUCCUUAUCGUUAGCUAGGCUGGCGCGUGAUGCAAGUUACCUCGAUGGCAGACUG
This 1134-nucleotide ribosomal RNA is filed under the name Mixta calida. Its description in RNAcentral is "bacterial SSU rRNA". It matches the Rfam family "Bacterial small subunit ribosomal RNA", at positions 33 to 1151 of the family's 1533-position model. Lineage: Bacteria; Pseudomonadati; Pseudomonadota; Gammaproteobacteria; Enterobacterales; Erwiniaceae. The record is from RNAcentral.